Molecule: long non-coding RNA, 6179 nt
Organism: Ictalurus punctatus (channel catfish)
Lineage: Eukaryota; Metazoa; Chordata; Actinopteri; Siluriformes; Ictaluridae
Source: Ensembl
GUUUCUGGUGUCUCCCCCUAACCCCAACACAACCAAACCCCCACCCCCCACCCCGACCCCACCGAAGCCGUCGAUCACUCUUCCUUGUCGCUUGUUGAUAGCAUGUACUGGUUAGAGCUGUUCCUGUUGUGCCGUCCAUCCAAGCCCGAGCCCUCUCUAUAGCCCCUGCACUGUGUACAUUUAAUCUGCAAGGUUAACUGCUAAUUGCUUUUUUUUUUUUUUUGGUGUUAAUAAUGAUGAUGAUGAUGAAGAUGAUGAUCAUUAUGAUGAUAAUAAUAAUGAUGUUAAUUAAGUAUUUGAACUCAAUAUGAUGGUAAUUACAUGUGAGAAAAAAAAUAUUAUAAUAAUCCCAGAGCCAUGUGUGCGAAAAUAUUUUGUACUUUGCUCUGAAAAAAAAAAAAAUUAAUAAUAAUUAUAAGGUUUUUUUUUUUUUUUUUCAAAGUGUUGUGCUCUAUUUUGCCAUGAGAACCUUUUUAAAAAAAAAAACAAAAAAAAAACAAGGUGAUGAGCUGGAGUGCAGCAAAACACUGCUUUGAAUUAGCCCCGACUUUGUUAUGCUAGCAUGCCACGAUGCUAGACUAAUUUAACCAGAUAUUUGACAAACGUAGGGUUUUGCUGUGCAUCCGCACACUCACAAAGAGAGCAAUCAAUGAAAUGUACUAUAAUUUGUACCGUGUGUGUAUUCAACCGUUUCUUUUUAAGGCUCUGUACUGUAUCGAAUGUAUGCUAACCUUUAUGCUGUCCCACCGUUUUUUGCUGUAACAUUGUCAGCCAUCUUGCCGUCACAACCAAAAACUCUCGGCAUAUUCGAAAUCCCGUGUGCUCGCCCCCUUCGUACGUUACUUCCUUCCUCCAGCCGCUUUCGAGAGGGAGCCAAAUUAGUGGGGAAUAGAGACGUAAUUAGCGAGCGGAUCGCUAAGCGAGGGCGCCGUCGCUCUUCUCCUCAUCCCUCCAUCUGCUGAGGAGCAGAGCUCAUAAAUCUAGCUCAAUCCAGGCACUGACAGGGACCCUCUUCAAGGACGACAGUGUCUUGGUGGUGACUAAUUAACCACCACUUAAAGGCGCGUAGAGAAGACGCUGCGACCAUGUGCUCGGCGGCGCAUGGCUUAACAGUGAGCGCUGGUUUCCGCAUCGCGUAUGCCGUAUGCAAGCUCUUACAUUCAUGGACAAAAAGCACGGUUAGGAGCCGAUCAUUCAGUCACGUAAGUGCUGUAUAUAGCAUGUUUUGACAUCGUUGUGUCCCCAUAGCUAAUUUUGUCAAAUCCAGCAAUAACCAAACUAAAACGUAAAUGUAAAGAAGUAUCUAAUUGGCGUAAUCUGUUACGUGUUGACCGGAGUGCCAUGCUAAUCUAAUCCUGAAAGUGUUGUGUGAUAAAUUAAUGUCAUGUGUGUGAUGGAAGGAGCUCUGGAAGCAGAGUUUAAAGGUUGACCCGGCCUACAUGCUUCUCCAUACCCGUUCCAUCUCUCUCUCUCUCUUCCUCUCUCUCUCUCUCUCUCUAUCUACCUAUCCAUCUAUCUAUAUGGAUCUAUCUAUGGUGUACAAAUCCGUACUGUAUAGCCACAAUUGCAACACACACUUGCAUGUUUUUGAGAUCCCAUCCAAAAAUUUUCUCAUUUGGGUUCAAUUUGAAGCACAAAACCGGUCCCAGUGCUAAUUUUUCUCUGUAUCUGUCUGUCCUUGUCCCUCUUUACUUGUUCACGACUGCGCCCGUGUAAAGCUCAAUGAUCCAUGGCAAACCUAUCUGUGCUCAUGUUUUCUCCUGAACAAUAAGUAAACAAACAAACAAACAAAAAAAAAAGAUAUGUCAUGUUUCUCAAUGUGGGUUAUAAAAAAAAAAAAAAAGCAUGUCAGUGUUUUGUUAUGGGUGGAUUUUCCUUUUAAGAAAAAAAAAAAGUAUGAAUAUGAAAAGUGUGUGUGUGUGUGUGUGUGUGUGUGUGUGUGUGGGAAAGGUUGGCUUUAAAAUAUGGAAGAUUGAAGUGUGAUUUGAUAUGAGCUCCCCUGUAGAGAUGAGUGAUUGUGGGUUACCUGGAGGUCUGGUUUGGGAGGUGAAGAGAGGCAUGUGAGGCAGGAAGGGUGAGAUGGGCCAGCGCUGACCAGACACUGAACUCCCUCUGUAUGCAUGCGAUUAACUGGAAGGCAGCAGCUACAUAUCAGCUUGUGGAUCCAUUUUUUAUAAAGGCAGAUUGCGUCUAUUGAUUUUCCUGCCGCUUCGCUCUGCUGCUUAUGUCCACACAUUUAAAAUGCGCUUCAAUUCUAAUGUCCUACUAGUGUCCAAUAAUACUGAUGGAUACUACAUGCGUUAGUAAGAGGCUUCUAAUUCAUCCACAAACGCUGCAAUUAUUUUUCUUUAGCCACAUGGACGCUCACAACAUAUCCAUGAGCUUCCUCAUGUCCAAUCAGGAGGCACUUGACCGUACAGGUGUCCAAUCAGGAGGUGUCUGGAUUUACACGCGUUCAAACAGGAGGCACUUGAGGUUGCACGUGUCCAAUCAAGAGGCACACAAGUGUCCAAUCUUGUCCCACUUUGCCUUAUAUGUGGCCAAUCAAGAGGUAAGUGCGUGCGCUUACAUCAGUCCAAUCAGGAGGAACCUGAGCUUGUACCCAUCCAAUCAGAAGGCACCUGAACAUUCCCUGCAGGACUUUGAAGAAAUGAUAUGUGUCUUAAUUUCUUUGUAGGAUAGUAAAAUAGCUCUGCUGUCACGAUUUUACAUUUCAAUUUAUUGAUUUAACAGCCAUCUUUUCCCAGAGUGGCUUUUUGCACAGACCGAACCAGUUCGUGGAAUGAAACCAAAAUCAGAAACGAAUUAAUGGUAAUUUGCUACGAACAAAAACGCAAAUAUAAACGUAAUCGUCCUUGUUCGGAAGCAUUCGUUUGAAUCUGUUACCAGUUAAUAACUAAAUAAAAAUGAAUUAUUUAAAAUAGUUUAGCCUUAUACGACAACAUUUUUCUACAUCUAUCUACUAUUUUAUCAUAUUAAACCUACAUACCGCCUCUAAAAAAUGAUAGGAAUGGACCAUUUUGUUCUCUGUUGGUUGUAAUGUUAGGGACGUUAUGCGGGGGUUAGAGGACAAUAAGGAAAAGGUUCUAAUACGUUUUUUUUUUUUUAAAAGUUCUGCUCAAUGUAGUUUAGUGUUUCAUGACGCUUUAAGGUAUAAAUCUGAACAACUGAAGGUUAAGAGUAUUGCGUAAGGAUUUAAUGGUGCCUUGCUGAUAGUAAUGGGAAUUCGAACUGACAUCCUUCUGAUCACAGAUACAGCAGUUUAACCCUUACUGAACUGAGUAGAUUCAUUUUAUGUGAAUGCUUUAAACCAAACCUUUAAAUUUGUUUUUAACCAAAUAUAAGGCAUAAUGCUAAUUUAAUUCUAGAUAGAUAGAUAGAUAGAUAGAUAGAUAGAUAGAUAGAUAGAUAGAUAGACAGGCAGAUAGAUAGAUAUAUAGAUAGAUAGAUGGAUAGAUAGAUAGAUAGAUAGAUAGAUAGAUAGAUAGAUAGAUAGAUAGAUAGACAGACAGAUAGAUAGAUAGAUAGAUAGAUAGAUAGAUAGAUAGAUAGAUAGAUAGAUAGAUAGAUAGAUAGAUAGAUAGAAUUAUUACGAAUGAGGUGUUAGGUGUUUUUUUUUUAAUGACUCAAUAAUAUAUAAGUUUCACUUUAAGGAGUUUGUAUGAAAAUCUCAUUUUAUCCGAUCAUCUUAUCAUAAUCUAUGGUCAUUUUGUUGCAUUUUGUAACAUUUGUAAAGUAAUAUUCAGAGGACACUAUAGAAAAUGGCAUAUUUUAAUGGUUUAAAUUCAAUAACUGAACAACAAGACAAUUAUUCAUUUGAGACGUAAUUAGUAAUACUUUGAGAAAUGUCAGCGCUUAUGGAUACUGUGUAUCUUGAAGUAAAGAUGAGAUCUCUGUGAGUUAGAAUUGGACACAACAAAAUAAACAUAAGGGUUUGUUUAUUUGUGUUUUUUGUUGGGGUUUUUUUUUUUUUUUUUUUUAGAAAUAGCAUAAUUCAGUAUCUUUUCAUAGAUAAGAACAGUUAUUGUCACAGACAGAUAAUGCAGAUAGAACAAAGAGAAAAGAUUCUUCUGAAAGAUAAAGAAAUAAAUAAACAAGGAAAGAUUGCUUUGAGAAAUAGAAUAAGGGAAUGGAUGGAUGGAUGGAUAGAUAGACGGACAGACGGACGGACAAACAGACAGACAGACAGACAGACAGACAGACAGAUAGAUAGAUAGAUAGAUAGAUAGAUAGAUAGAUAGAUAGAUAGAUAUCUGCACGAUAUCUAGACGGACAGACAAACAGACAGACAGACAGAUAGAUAGAUAGAUAGAUAGAUAGAUAGAUAGAUAGAUAGAUAGAUAGAUAGAUAGAUAGAUCAUAUUAAAGUAAUAGUUUGGUCAAAAAUGAAAUUUACACAUUAACACAGAUGGAUUCAUUCAGCCGAGACAGUAGGGUAACAAGCUGCAACCUGUUCUUCAGUGAUGUCACACAGACUUAUCCAUGUGGGUUAGGACACAGACGACUGUUAUAAGCUAUACCAGACUUCAUCAACUGGUAGAAUGUCCAGAUACAGCUCCAGCAAAGUAUUUCUGUGGAUCAAACUGAGAACUCCAAAAAAUACUGUAGCAGAGCCAAUCAGUGUACGGAAAAUAACUGGCUAUAGCUCAGUGAAAAACAAUGUUGUGUUGAGGCUUGUUGCAGCCAAUCACAUGCAUUUAUGUAAAUUACUUAGUCGAAGGCUGUUACAAAACAAAACAACAUUUAAAGACGAGAAGAGAAGCAUGCAUUUAUUCUUUUCUCCAAAGUUCAAAACAGACAUCUCAGCUACGGUAUUAGUCAGAUGUGGCGCUAGUCAAAUGUGGAAACGUGAACUGCCAGUAUGAAACAAAACAUAACCCCUCUGAUGUGUUUUGAUUAUAACUAUGAAUUAAUCCUGAAUAAUUAAUCAUUAAAAGGUCACUUUUAUCACCAUUCAGUCAUGUUACUCGUGCGUAAGCAAGGAAAGAAUAAACAAAACUUCACUGUUUACCCAAACACUGUAACAUUACUGUAUGAGAGAUUAAACGUAACAGCAUUAAUGCAUGGAAAGACUUCACGAUGAUACAUUGACACACAGGGUAUACAUAGACAUACUAACGAAGGGCUAACACAAAAUAGGUGAUCACACUUGGGUAACAAACUAAUGAUGGGGCAGGGGGUGGAGUCAGGAAUGGAAUAGAAACCAUCGACAAACAUGAGCACAAGGCAUUUAUGGCAUGGAAUGGAAGCUGUUACAGGUGCUUCUUGGGUCGUAUCUCCGGAAGAUGGAAUUUUACCAGAAAGCUGGGGCAAUUAGUAUGCAGACGACACAUUAGUUAGAGUUUGAAUUUUAACGUACAAACACAAGCGCCGGUAUUUCUGCUACUUUACAAACUUGAAUAUCUUGGCAUCUGUUUUGGAAAAGGAUGUUGGAGGAAAGACUUCCAUCACUUGUAAACAACAUCACCUGUAUAAUUAUUGUAGCUGCACGAAGUAAAGAAGCAAAACGCUGGACGUCAAACACGCCUCGGGUGAAUCAGGGUGUGGGUACAAAUGUGUAAAUUUCAUUUUAUGCUAAACUAUCAAUCUCCAUUUGAUGUUUAAUUAUCCUGCAAAUUAUGAAGCGUUUGUGUGCAUAAGGUUUUGACGCAACAGGUGCUGCUUGUCAGUCGUGUACAGCUGUAUUGAUAGCACGCCGCUGAUUAUCUGAGCAUAAUUCAGUAGGUGUAUUAAAACGAGACGUUCGUAGCCGAGGCCGUGUGUUUUCCUCAAAGCAGGAGGCGUAAGAAGCAACUCCGCUGUGCACAAACAAGCCCGGUACUCUUGGGUAUCGGCGGAGAUUGUCGUACACCCACUGGAAGCUGAAAUUUCUGUCAGUCAAAUGGGUGAACACAAGCUGUGGCAUAGCACUUUGGUAGUGUUUGGAUUGAAAGCGCUUGAUGUAACGUCACAGGUUAAUGGUGACGAGGUCGGUCAGUGAUUCGAGCCUAUCUCCCUCUCUCUGUGCACUUUGCCUCUUCCUCUUCUCCUCCACGCCUCGUCCUCCUCUUCUCCUCUGGAAAUCAGAUGUAAUGCCAUGAGCACCUCCAGCUCUCCAUUCCGGUCCUUCUGUCGUAUUAAUGUGUGUGUUUGGACGUGUGUGUGUGUGUGCAUAUAAUGUACAUGCAUGUGAGGGCGUG